GGUUUGGCGCGCCUGGCCCGCCACGGUUACGUGUGUGAGUGCCGGGACGCGCCUGCCAUCCUUCUAGUGAACUAUUCUGCCCUUCACUGGGUGGGAUAGGUAGCUAGAUCAUUUACUUUGAAAAAAUUAGAGUGUUUAAAGCAGGCGUUUGCUAUGAAUACAUUAGCAUGGAAUAAUAACUUAGGACUUCGGUUCUAUUUUGUUGGUUUCUAGGACUGAAGUA
This 223-nucleotide ribosomal RNA is filed under the name uncultured fungus. RNAcentral's name for it is "partial small subunit ribosomal RNA". The stretch from base 97 to 223 matches the Rfam family "Eukaryotic small subunit ribosomal RNA", at positions 736 to 864 of the family's 1831-position model. Lineage: Eukaryota; Fungi. The record is from RNAcentral.